CCAAUGAUUAGAGGCAUCGGGGGCGCAACGCCCUCGACCUAUUCUCAAA
RNAcentral lists this ribosomal RNA (49 nucleotides) under Nicotiana attenuata. RNAcentral describes it as "rRNA LSU_rRNA_eukarya". The record is from RNAcentral. Lineage: Eukaryota; Viridiplantae; Streptophyta; Magnoliopsida; Solanales; Solanaceae.